AGUUCUAUUGCGGGAUUUGAACCCAGGUCCCCUUCAUUGAAAGUCAAUAGUACAUACCACUACACCACGGAUAUAUAAGC
Non-coding RNA from Cordylochernes scorpioides, 80 nucleotides. The record is from the annotation of a GenBank genome assembly. NCBI's taxonomy places the organism in Eukaryota, Metazoa, Arthropoda, Arachnida, Pseudoscorpiones, Chernetidae.